Non-coding RNA from Octopus bimaculoides (California two-spot octopus), 114 nucleotides. The record is from Rfam. NCBI's taxonomy places the organism in Eukaryota, Metazoa, Mollusca, Cephalopoda, Octopoda, Octopodidae.
GUCGGUUAUGGUGACAUGUCGCCAAUAGGCGUGUAUGGUAAGUUAGUCGGAUCACUCUGUGCUAUUGCUGGAGUGUUGACUAUUGCCCUGCCCGUUCCGGUCAUUGUGUCAAAU